GGCAUCCAUGGAUAACAAAUGAAGAGAGUGGAGCAGGAAGCUCCUAGCUAGCUUAGAGUUGAUAUAUGCUUGUAUAGAUGCAUAUACUAUAGAUGGAAUGGAAUCCGUACGCACUGAGUAUCCUAGCAGUUUUUCACUUUUAAUUUAAUUAUGAGGAUGCUUUUUUUUUAUUAGAAGAAGAAGCAAGAUUUUGAAAAGGGGAG
RNAcentral lists this unclassified non-coding RNA (203 nucleotides) under Hevea brasiliensis (rubber tree). Lineage: Eukaryota; Viridiplantae; Streptophyta; Magnoliopsida; Malpighiales; Euphorbiaceae. The record is from RNAcentral.